UUCCCCCAAAUCAGUUUCUCAUCAAUGUAAUCUCUGGUCAAGACUUUCAAAUCAAAACCGAAAUUGAAAAACCUUCAAACUUCUAUCGAAAGAGAUUUUCCAUAAAGCUCGCGAGACAUACAAGUACCCAAGCUGGGAAAAUAUAGCCAGCCAAAAGGAAAUAGCUGCAAUUAGGAGGUACAUCAUUGAAAAACAGGUAUGUGAAGUUUACAGAGUUUUCAUUAGACUGGGGGAGUGGUUUCCCUGUCGCAAGGAAAGAAAUACAAGAGUUCAUUUGGAAGAUGAUGUGAGGUUGAGAGUUAUAAUUGUUAAGCGUAAAAUGUUUGCAAGUUUGCAACGGAACCUCGGCCUGUGUAUGGUGAGAAAUACAGGAAUCCGCUGACGGAAGAAGGAUGCUCCAUUGUCGGAGCCAAUUUUCUGAUGGUGUUUGUCGGUUGAAAAUUGCUAGGAUGGCUUGAAGAAAUCAUGGGUGCCCAUAUUUUCAGUGAAUUAGUGCGUCGUCUAAGAGAAGCUGGAGCCUUUUGGCUCUAAUUAUUUGAACAACCAAGAAAAUUAUGGUUCGAAUUAUAAUUUUUUUCUGAUUUCUGAACAAAUCUCAACUCAGAAAACAGGUUGAAGAAAGUGCAAUUUAUCCAACUUUUUGGCUUA
This is a long non-coding RNA of Olea europaea var. sylvestris, 648 nucleotides long. RefSeq lists it as uncharacterized. The record is from RefSeq and is a predicted model, not a curated record. The transcript has 2 exons. NCBI's taxonomy places the organism in Eukaryota, Viridiplantae, Streptophyta, Magnoliopsida, Lamiales, Oleaceae.